GAUGAACGCUGGCGGCGUGCCUAAUACAUGCAAGUCGAGCGAACAGACGAGGAGCUUGCUCCUCGGACGUUAGCGGCGGACGGGUGAGUAACACGUGGAUAACCUACCUAUAAGACUGGGAUAACUUCGGGAAACCGGAGCUAAUACCGGAUAAUAUCUUGAUCCGCAUGGUUGAUUAGUGAAAUACGGUGUUUGUGUCACUUCUAGAUGGUUCUGCGCCGCAUUGGCUAGUUGUGAAGGUCAUGGCUUACCAAGGGAAGGAUGCGUAGCCGAACGGCGGGGGGGAUCGGCCACCCUGGAACGGAGACACGGUCCAGAGGCCUAAGGGAGGCAGCAGUAGCGAAUCGUACGCAAAGGGCGAAAGCCUGACGGAGCAACGCCACGUGAGUGAUGAAGGUCUUCGGAUCGUAAAAAUCUGUUAUGAGGGAAGAACAAAUGUGUCAGUAACUAUGCACGUCUUGACGGUACCUAAUAAGAAAGCCACGGCUAACUACGUG
Molecule: ribosomal RNA, 497 nt
Filed under: uncultured bacterium
Lineage: Bacteria
Description: partial 16S ribosomal RNA
Rfam family: Bacterial small subunit ribosomal RNA
Source: RNAcentral